UUUUCCGGUUGAUCCCGCCGGACCCGACUGCUAUUUGGGUGAGGAUAAGCCAUGCAAGUUGAAUGGGAUACCUAAAGUUCCCAUAGCAAACUGCUCAGUAACACAUGAUCAACUUGCCCUGUGGAGAAAAAUAAUCUCGGGAAAGUAUCAUAAGUCUGAGAGAAAAAAAUAAUUUUCAAUGACUAUGAUGCCCCGAAACUGAGGAUAAUGUUUCAUAGUUGAAUAGGCUUGGAAAAGUUUUUCAAUUAAAGGGAUAAGAAAAAUGGUUCUUGUCUGCCAUAGGAUAGGAUCGUGGUCGAUUAUGGUUGUUGGUGAGGUAACGGCUCACCAAGCCGAUAAUCGAUAGGGGCCGUGAGAGCGGGAGCCCCGAGAUGGGUACUGAGACACCGACCCAGACCUUACGAGGUGCAGCAGGCGCGAGACCUCCGCAAUACACGAAAGUGUGACGGGGUUACCCAAAGUGUUCAUUAUUGAACUGUGAUAGGUGAGUAAUGUCCCCUAUUAGAAAGGAGAGGGCAAGGCUGGUGCCAGCCGCCGCGGUAAAACCAGCUCUUCAAGUGGUCGGGAUGAUUAUUGGGCUUAAAGUAUCCGUAGCCGGUUUAGUAAGUUCCUGGUAAAAUCGGGUAGCUUAACUAUCUGUAUGCUAGGAAUACUACUAUACUAGAGGGCGGGAGAGGUCUGAGGUACUACAGGGGUAGGGGUGAAAUCUUAUAAUCCUUGUAGGACCACCAGUGGCGAAGGCGUCAGACUGGAACGCGCCUGACGGUGAGGGACGAAAGCCAGGGGAGCGAACCGGAUUAGAUACCCGGGUAGUCCUGGCCGUAAACGAUGCAUACUAGGUGAUGGCAAGGCCAUGAGCCGUGUCAGUGCCGUAGGGAAACCGUUAAGUGUGCCGCCUGGGAGGUACGGUCGCAAGGCUAAAACUUAAAGGAAUUGGCGGGGGAGCACCACAAGGGGUGAAGCCUGCGGUUCAAUUGGAUUCAACGCCGGAAAUCACUAGU
This 1001-nucleotide ribosomal RNA is filed under the name uncultured archaeon. RNAcentral's name for it is "bacterial SSU rRNA". It matches the Rfam family "Archaeal small subunit ribosomal RNA", at positions 1 to 934 of the family's 1478-position model. The record is from RNAcentral.